Molecule: ribosomal RNA, 253 nt
Filed under: uncultured bacterium
Lineage: Bacteria
Description: partial 16S ribosomal RNA
Rfam family: Bacterial small subunit ribosomal RNA
Source: RNAcentral
CACGUAGGGCGCAAGCGUUGUCCGGAAUUAUUGGGCGUAAAGAGCUCGUAGGCGGUCUGUUGCGUCCGCUGUGAAAACUCGGGGCUUAACCCCGAGCCUGCAGUGGAUACGGGCAGACUAGAGGUAGGUAGGGGAGAAUGGAAUUCCCGGUGUAGCGGUGAAAUGCGCAGAUAUCAGAAGGAACAUCAGUGGCGAAAGCGACUUCCUGGACCAGAACUGACGAUCAGGCACGAAAGCGUGGGGAGCAAACAGG